GGGGACGUAGUUCAGCUGGAUAGAACAAUUGAUUGUCGAUCAAUAGGUCGCGGGUUCGAGUCCCGUCGUCCCCGCCA
RNAcentral lists this transfer RNA (77 nucleotides) under Candidatus Omnitrophica bacterium CG_4_9_14_0_2_um_filter_42_8. RNAcentral's name for it is "tRNA-Asp". It matches the Rfam family "tRNA". From Rfam's summary of the family: Transfer RNA (tRNA) molecules are approximately 80 nucleotides in length. Their secondary structure includes four short double-helical elements and three loops (D, anti-codon, and T loops). Lineage: Bacteria; Pseudomonadati; Candidatus Omnitrophota. RNAcentral also lists the same sequence under 1 other name. The record is from RNAcentral.